RNAcentral lists this ribosomal RNA (878 nucleotides) under Omalosecosa ramulosa. RNAcentral's name for it is "SSU rRNA". It matches the Rfam family "Eukaryotic small subunit ribosomal RNA", at positions 888 to 1774 of the family's 1831-position model. The record is from RNAcentral. Lineage: Eukaryota; Metazoa; Bryozoa; Gymnolaemata; Cheilostomatida; Celleporidae.
GCAUUCGUACUCGGACGGGAGAGGUGAAAUUCAAGGAUCGUCCGAAGACGCCCUACUGCGAAAGCAUUUGCCAAGAAUGUUUUCAUUAAUCAAGAACGAAAGUCAGAGGUGCGAAGGCGAUCAGAUACCGCCGUAGUUCUGACCGUAAACGAUGCCGACUGGCAAUUGGGCGCACUUCUAUAGAAGUUGCUGCCAGCAGUAUUGCCCGGGAAACCAAAGUCAUUGGGUUCCGGGGGGAGUAUGGUUGCAAAGCUGAAACUUAAAGGAAUUGACGGAAGGGCACCACCAGGAGUGGAGCCUGCGGCUUAAUUUGACUCAACACGGGAAACCUCACCCGGCCCGAACACUGUUAUGACAGACAGGUUGAGAGCUCUUUCUCGAUUCAGUGGUUGGUGGUGCAUGGCCGUUCUUAGUUCGUGGAGCGAUCUGUCUGGUUAAUUCCGAUAACGAACGAGACUCUUGCCUGCUAAAUAGACGGCGCCGACGUGAUCGGCGACCGUUUGCUUCUUAGAGGGACAAGCGGCUUUUAGCCGCGUGAAGCCGAGAGCAAUAACAGGUCAGUGAUGCCCUCAGAUGUUCGGGGCCGCACGCGCGCUACACUGUUUGCAUCAGCGUGUUUCUCCCGCGCCGGCUGGCGUGGGCAACCCGUUGAACCGCAAACGUGCUAGGGAUCGGAGAUUGCAAUUGUUCUCCGUGAACGAGGAAUUCCUUGUACUGGCGAGUCAUCAGCUCGCGGGGAAUCUGUCCCUGCCCUUUGUACACACCGCCCGUCGCUACUACCGAUUGAGUGGUUUAGUGAGGCUCACGGACUGCGCGCGGCACACGGUGCUCUCGGGUGCUGCGUCGCGAUGCGGAAAGUGAGACGAACUUGAUCACUU